Molecule: ribosomal RNA, 253 nt
Filed under: uncultured bacterium
Lineage: Bacteria
Description: partial 16S ribosomal RNA
Rfam family: Bacterial small subunit ribosomal RNA
Source: RNAcentral
GACAGAGGGGGCAAGCGUUGCUCGGAAUCACUGGGCGUAAAGGGCGCGUAGGCGGGAUGUCAAGUCAGUCGUGAAAUCCCUCGGCUUAACCGGGGAACUGCGUCUGAUACUGGAUGGCUUGAGUUCGGGAGAGGGAUGCGGAAUUCCAGGUGUAGCGGUGAAAUGCGUAGAUAUCUGGAGGAACACCGGUGGCGAAGGCGGCAUCCUGGACCGACACUGACGCUGAGGAGCGAAAGCCAGGGGAGCAAACGGG